CCGAUAUCCCGCAUUUUUUGUGACAUUGUGAACAGUUUUCAUUAUUGCAGUAUCUGCAGUUCAUUUGUUCUUUAAUCUUUUACUGUAAGUUAUGUUUUUCAUGCUUUUGAGUUGCAGUUGCAGAUAGACAAGGCCACAGAAACAGUCUAUAUCAAGGGCAAUAUUUUUUGGAACAGAAUUCAAAUCUGCUUUUGGUAUACCUCAAGCGCACCCAUUAUUGUUUGUCAGUGGGGAAGGGAAAUUGCAAAGUUUGGGUGGCAAAGCACUUUUUUGUCAAGCUCAGUCCACAUAAAGAGGUUAUCACAGGCUCUAAAUCUUUCUCACAAUCAUUACUACCAAGGUGAAGCUACGAACACUGCUCGCUUUCCAAGUCUAAAUGUUUACUUGAGGUGGAGAAGCAUCCCAGAACACGACUUCAACAUUGACUGCCAUCACAGCAGUCACCUCACUCUGCACCACCAUUUUUGGAGUCCAGGAGAACCAGAUUUCCUCUUCAUUUAUGCCACGUGCACCUUAAAGAAAUAAAUUCUUUAAGAAGCUGA
Dermacentor andersoni is the source of this 542-nucleotide long non-coding RNA. RefSeq lists it as uncharacterized. NCBI's taxonomy places the organism in Eukaryota, Metazoa, Arthropoda, Arachnida, Ixodida, Ixodidae. The record is from RefSeq and is a predicted model, not a curated record.